Molecule: ribosomal RNA, 508 nt
Filed under: uncultured bacterium
Lineage: Bacteria
Description: bacterial SSU rRNA
Rfam family: Bacterial small subunit ribosomal RNA
Source: RNAcentral
AUUGAACGCUGGCGGCGUGCUUAACACAUGCAAGUCGAACGCGAAAGGGGCUUCGGCCCUGAGUAAAGUGGCGCACGGGUGAGUAACGCGUGGAUAAUCUGCCCUUAUGAUCGGGAUAACAGUUGGAAACGGCUGCUAAUACCGGAUACGCUCAAAAUGAACUUUUUGAGGAAAGAUGGCCUCUGCUUGCAUGCUAUCGCAUAGGGAUGAGUCCGCGUCCCAUUAGCUUGUUGGCGGGGUAACGGCCCACCAAGGCAACGAUGGGUAGCCGAUUUGAGAGGAUGAUCGGCCACACUGGAACUGAAACACGGUCCAGACUCCUACGGGAGGCAGCAGUGGGGAAUAUUGCGCAAUGGGCGAAAGCCUGACGCAGCGACGCCGCGUGAGGGAUGAAAGGUUUUCGGAUCGUAAACCUCUGUCAGAAGGGAAGAAACUACGUUGUGCUAAUCAGCAGCGUACUGACGGUACCUUCAAAGGAAGCACCGGCUAACUCCGUGCCAGCAGCAGC